UGGGGAAUAUUGCACAAUGGGCGAAAGCCUGAUGCAGCGACGCCGCGUGAGGGAUGACGGCCUUUGGGUUGUAAACCUCUUUCAGUAGGGACGAAGCGCAAGUGACGGUACCUGCAGAAGAAGCACCGGCUAACUACGUGCCAGCAGCCACGGUAAUACGUAGGGUGCGAGCGUUGUCCGGAAUUACUGGGCGUAAAGAGCUCGUAGGCGGUUUGUCACGUCGUCUGUGAAAUCCUAGGGCUUAACCCUGGACGUGCAGGCGAUACGGGCUGACUUGAGUACUACAGGGGAGACUGGAAUUUCUGGUGUAGCGGUGGAAUGCACAGAUAUCAGGAAGAACACCGAUGGCGAAGGCAGGUCUCUGGGUAGUGACUGACGCUGAGGAGCGAAAGCAUGGGUAGCGAACAGG
RNAcentral lists this ribosomal RNA (409 nucleotides) under bacterium. RNAcentral describes it as "partial 16S ribosomal RNA". It matches the Rfam family "Bacterial small subunit ribosomal RNA", at positions 355 to 776 of the family's 1533-position model. The record is from RNAcentral.